AGUACUCAGGAGAGUUUCUUUUACAGUUCUAUACCGGUCAGUGAGACUGUUAUGUCUGUAGAAGAGCGCCGAAGGUGUAAGCGUCGAAGCCGGUCUUUCCGACGGAUGCAGGAAAGCAGGGCGGGGACGUGAGUCUCUCAGGCAAAAGGAUGGAGGUAUAA
This 161-nucleotide non-coding RNA is filed under the name uncultured Mediterraneibacter sp. Its description in RNAcentral is "Glycine riboswitch". It matches the Rfam family "Glycine riboswitch aptamer", at positions 9 to 86 of the family's 94-position model. Rfam says of the family: This family represents the bacterial glycine riboswitch. Glycine riboswitches usually consist of two metabolite-binding aptamers domains with similar structures in tandem. The record is from RNAcentral. Lineage: Bacteria; Bacillati; Bacillota; Clostridia; Lachnospirales; Lachnospiraceae.